RNAcentral lists this small RNA (29 nucleotides) under Bombyx mori (domestic silkworm). RNAcentral's name for it is "piRNA piR-bmo-1307727". The record is from RNAcentral. Lineage: Eukaryota; Metazoa; Arthropoda; Insecta; Lepidoptera; Bombycidae.
UACCUGCGUUGUCCUGCUGCUCGAAGCGA